GAAGGUGGGGAUGACGUCAAAUCAUCAUGCCCCUUAUGACCUGGGCUACACACGUGCUACAAUGGACGGUACAAAGAGCUGCAAGACCGCGAGGUGGAGCUAAUCUCAUAAAACCGUUCUCAGUUCGGAUUGUAGGCUGCAACUCGCCUACAUGAAGCUGGAAUCGCUAGUAAUCGCGGAUCAGCAUGCCGCGGUGAAUACGUUCCCGGGCCUUGUACACACCGCCCGUCACACCACGAGAGUUUGUAACACCCGAAGUCGGUGGGGUAACCUUUUUGGAGCCAGCCGCCUAAGGUGGGACAGAUGAUUGGGGUGAAGUCGUAACAAGGUAGCCGUAUCGGAAGGUGCGGCUGGAUCACCUCCUUU
This 366-nucleotide ribosomal RNA is filed under the name Bacillus cereus. RNAcentral describes it as "bacterial SSU rRNA". It matches the Rfam family "Bacterial small subunit ribosomal RNA", at positions 1169 to 1533 of the family's 1533-position model. Lineage: Bacteria; Bacillati; Bacillota; Bacilli; Caryophanales; Bacillaceae. The record is from RNAcentral.